UAGGGUUAGGGUUGGGCUUGGAGCUAGGAUUUUUCUGAGUGCACUGAACCAACUCCCGAGUCUCUAGGAUGUUCCUAAAAAAAUUUGAUUUUUUCCCAUAGGAAUGCAUGGGUUAGGGUUAGGGUUAGGGUUGGAGCUAGGGUUAGGGUUAGGGUUAGGGUUGGAGUUAGGGUUAGUGUUGGAGCUAGGGUUAGGGUUGGGCUUGGAGCUAGGAUUUUUCUGAGUGCACUGAACCAACUCCCGAGUCUCUAGGACAUUCCUAAAAAAAUUUGAUUUUUUCCCAUAGGAAUGCAUGGGUUAGGGUUAGGGUUAGGGUUGGAGCUAGGGUUAGGGUUAGGGUUAGGGUUGGAGUUAGGGUUAGUGUUGGAGCUAGGGUUAGGGUUGGGCUUGGAGCUAGGAUUUUUCUGAGUGCACUGAACCAACUCCCGAGUCUCUAGGACAUUCCUAAAAAAUUUGAUUUUUUCCCAUAGGAAUGCAUGGGUUAGUUAUGGUUAGGGUUAGGGUUGGAGCUAGGGUUAGGGUUAGGGUUAGGGUUGGAGUUAGGGUUAGUGUUGGAGCUAGGGUUAGGGUUGGGCUUGGAGCUAGGAUUUUUCUGAGUGCACUGAACCAACUCCCGAGUCUCUAGGACAUUCCUAAAAAAAUUUGAUUUUUUCCCAUAGGAAUGCAUGGGUUAGGGUUAGGGUUAGGGUUGGAGCUAGGGUUAGGGUUAGGGUUAGGGUUGGAGUUAGGGUUAGUGUUGGAGCUAGGGUUAGGGUUGGGCUUGGAGCUAGGAUUUUUCUGAGUGCACUGAACCAACUCCCGAGUCUCUAGGAUGUUCCUAAAAAAAUUUGAUUUUUUCCCAUAGGAAUGCAUGGGUUAGGGUUAGGGUUAGGGUUGGAGCUAGGGUUAGGGUUAGGGUUAGGGUUGGAGUUAGGGUUAGUGUUGGAGCUAGGGUUAGGGUUGGGCUUGGAGCUAGGAUUUUUCUGAGUGCACUGAACCAACUCCCGAGUCUCUAGGACAUUCCUAAAAAAUUUGAUUUUUUCCCAUAGGAAUGCAUGGGUUAGGGUUAGGGUUAGGGUUGGAGCUAGGGUUAGGGUUAGGGUUAGGGUUGGAGUUAGGGUUAGUGUUGGAGCUAGGGUUAGGGUUGGGCUUGGAGCUAGGAUUUUUCUGAGUGCACUGAACCAACUCCCGAGUCUCUAGGACAUUCCUAAAAAAAUUUGAUUUUUUCCCAUAGGAAUGCAUGGGUUAGGGUUAUGGUUAGGGUUAGGGUUGGAGCUAGGGUUAGGGUUAGGGUUAGGGUUGGAGUUAGGGUUAGUGUUGGAGCUAGGGUUAGGGUUGGGCUUGGAGCUAGGAUUUUUCUGAGUGCACUGAACCAACUCCCGAGUCUCUAGGACGUUCCUAAAAAAAUUUGAUUUUUUCCCAUAGGAAUGCAUGGGUUAGGGUUAGGGUUAGGGUUGGAGCUAGGGUUAGGGUUAGGGUUAGGGUUGGAGUUAGGGUUAGUGUUGGAGCUAGGGUUAGGGUUGGGCUUGGAGCUAGGAUUUUUCUGAGUGCACUGAACCAACUCCCGAGUCUCUAGGACAUUCCUAAAAAAAUUUGAUUUUUUUCCCAUAGGAAUGCAUGGGUUAGGGUUAGGGUUAGGGUUGGAGCUAGGGUUAGGGUUAGGGUUAGGGUUGGAGUUAGGGUUAGUGUUGGAGCUAGCGUUAGGGUUGGGCUUGGAGCUAGGAUUUUUCUGAGUGCAAUGAACCAACUCCCGAGUCUCUAGGACAUUCCUAAAAAAAUUUGAUUUUUUCCCAUAGGAAUGCAUGGGUUAGGGUUAUGGUUAGGGUUAGGGUUGGAGCUAGGGUUAGGGUUAGGGUUAGGGUUGGAGUUAGGGUUAGUGUCGGAGCUAGGGUUAGGGUUGGGCUUGGAGCUAGGAUUUUUCUGAGUGCACUGAACCAACUCCCGAGUCUCUAGGACAUUCCUAAAAAAAUUUGAUUUUUUCCCAUAGGAAUGCAUGGGUUAGGGUUAUGGUUAGGGUUAGGGUUGGAGCUAGGGUUAGGGUUAGGGUUAGGGUUGGAGUUAGGGUUAGUGUCGGAGCUAGGGUUAGGGUUGGGCUUGGAGCUAGGAUUUUUCUGAGUGCACUGAACCAACUCCCGAGUCUCUAGGACAUUCCUAAAGAAAUUUGAUUUUUUCCCAUAGGAAUGCAUGGGUUAGGGUUAGGGUUAGGGUUGGAGCUAGGGUUAGGGUUAGGGUUAGGGUUGGAGUUAGGGUUAGUGUUGGAGCUAGGGUUAGGGUUGGGCUUGGAGCUAGGAUUUUUCUGAGUGCACUGAACCAACUCCCGAGUCUCUAGGACAUUCCUAAAAAAAUUUGAUUUUUUCCCAUAGGAAUGCAUGGGUUAGGGUUAGGGUUAGGGUUAGGGUUGGAGCUAGGGUUAGGGUUAGGGUUGGAGUUAGGGUUAGUGUUGGAGCUAGGGUUAGGGUUGGGCUUGGAGCUAGGAUUUUUCUGAGUGCACUGAACCAACUCCCGAGUCUCUAGGAUGUUCCUAAAAAAAUUUGAUUUUUUCCCAUAGGAAUGCAUGGGUUAGGGUUAGGGUUAGGGUUGGAGCUAGGGUUAGGGUUAGGGUUAGGGUUGGAGUUAGGAUUAGUGUUGGAGCUAGGGUUAGGGUUGGGCUUGGAGCUAGGAUUUUUCUGAGUGCACUGAACCAACUCCCGAGUCUCUAGGACAUUCCUAAAGAAAUUUGAUUUUUUCCCAUAGGAAUGCAUGGGUUAGGGUUAGGGUUAGGGUUGGAGCUAGGGUUAGGGUUAGGGUUAGGGUUGGAGUUAGGGUUAGUGUUGGAGCUAGGGUUAGGGUUGGGCUUGGAGCUAGGAUUUUUCUGAGUGCAAUGAACCAACUCCCGAGUCUCUAGGACAUUCCUAAAAAAAUUUGAUUUUUUCCCAUAGGAAUGCAUGGGUUAGGGUUAUGGUUAGGGUUAGGGUUGGAGCUAGGGUUAGGGUUAGGGUUAGGGUUGGAGUUAGGGUUAGUGUUGGAGCUAGGGUUAGGGUUGGGCUUGGAGCUAGGAUUUUUCUGAGUGCACUGAACCAACUCCCGAGUCUCUAGGACGUUCCUAAAAAAAUUUGAUUUUUUCCCAUAGGAAUGCAUGGGUUAGGGUUAGGGUUAGGGUUGGAGCUAGGGUUAGGGUUAGGGUUAGGGUUGGAGUUAGGGUUAGUGUUGGAGCUAGGGUUAGGGUUGGGCUUGGAGCUAGGAUUUUUCUGAGUGCACUGAACCAACUCCCGAGUCUCUAGGACAUUCCUAAAAAAAUUUGAUUUUUUUCCCAUAGGAAUGCAUGGGUUAGGGUUAGGGUUAGGGUUGGAGCUAGGGUUAGGGUUAGGGUUAGGGUUGGAGUUAGGGUUAGUGUUGGAGCUAGCGUUAGGGUUGGGCUUGGAGCUAGGAUUUUUCUGAGUGCAAUGAACCAACUCCCGAGUCUCUAGGACAUUCCUAAAAAAAUUUGAUUUUUUCCCAUAGGAAUGCAUGGGUUAGGGUUAUGGUUAGGGUUAGGGUUGGAGCUAGGGUUAGGGUUAGGGUUAGGGUUUGAGUUAGGGUUAGUGUCGGAGCUAGGGUUAGGGUUGGGCUUGGAGCUAGGAUUUUUCUGAGUGCACUGAACCAACUCCCGAGUCUCUAGGACAUUCCUAAAAAAAUUUGAUUUUUUCCCAUAGGAAUGCAUGGGUUAGGGUUAUGGUUAGGGUUAGGGUUGGAGCUAGGGUUAGGGUUAGGGUUAGGGUUGGAGUUAGGGUUAGUGUUGGAGCUAGGGUUAGGGUUGGGCUUGGAGCUAGGAUUUUUCUGAGUGCACUGAACCAACUCCCGAGUCUCUAGGACGUUCCUAAAAAAAUUGAUUUUUUCCCAUAGGAAUGCAUGGGUUAGGGUUAGGGUUAGGGUUGGACCUAGGGUUAGGGUUGGAGUUAGGGUUAGUGUUGGAGCUAGGGUUAGGGUUGGGCUUGGAGCUAGGAUUUUUCUGAGUGCACUGAACCAACUCCCGAGUCUCUAGGACAUUCCUAAAAAAACUUGAUUUUUUCCCAUAGGAAUGCAUGGGUUAGGGUUAGGGUUAGGGUUGGAGCUAGGGUUAGGGUUAGGGUUAGGGUUGGAGUUAGGGUUAGUGUUGGAGCUAGGGUUAGGGUUGGGCUUGGAGCUAGGAUUUUUCUGAGUGCACUGAACCAACUCCCGAGUCUCUAGGACAUUCCUAAAAAAAAUUGAUUUUUUCCCAUAGGAAUGCAUGGGUUAGGGUUAUGGUUAGGGUUAGGGUUGGAGCUAGGGUUAGGGUUAGGGUUAGGGUUGGAGUUAGGGUUAGUGUUGGAGCUAGGGUUAGGGUUGGGCUUGGAGCUAGGAUUUUUCUGAGUGCACUGAACCAACUCCCGAGUCUCUAGGACGUUCCUAAAAAAAUUUGAUUUUUUCCCAUAGGAAUGCAUGGGUUAGGGUUAGGGUUAGGGUUGGAGCUAGGGUUAGGGUUAGGGUUAGGGUUGGAGUUAGGGUUAGUGUUGGAGCUAGGGUUAGGGUUGGGCUUGGAGCUAGGAUUUUUCUGAGUGCACUGAACCAACUCCCGAGUCUCUAGGACAUUCCUAAAAAAAUUUGAUUUUUUCCAAUAGGAAUGCAUGGGUUAGGGUUAGGGUUAGGGUUGGAGCUAGGGUUAGGGUUAGGGUUAGGGUUGGAGUUAGGGUUAGGGUUGGAGCUAGGGUUAGGGUUGGGCUUGGAGCUAGGAUUUUUCUGAGUGCACUGAACCAACUCCCGAGUCUCUAGGACAUUCCUAAAAAAAUUUGAUUUUUUCCCAUAGGAAUGCAUGGGUUAGGGUUAGGGUUAGGGUUGGAGCUAGGGUUAGGGUUAGGGUUAGGGUUGGAGUUAGGGUUAGUGUUGGAGCUAGGGUUAGGGUUGGGCUUGGAGCUAGGAUUUUUCUGAGUGCACUGAACCAACUCCCGAGUCUCUAGGACAUUCCUAAAAAAAAUUGAAUUUUUCCCAUAGGAAUGCAUGGGUUAGGGUUAUGGUUAGGGUUAGGGUUGGAGCUAGGGUUAGGGUUAGGGUUAGGGUUGGAGUUAGGGUUAGUGUUGGAGCUAGGGUUAGGGUUGGGCUUGGAGCUAGGAUUUUUCUGAGUGCACUGAACCAACUCCCGAGUCUCUAGGACAUUCCUAAAAAAAUUUGAUUUUUUCCCAUAGGAAUGCAUGGGUUAGGGUUAUGGUUAGUGUUAGGGUUGGAGCUAGGGUUAGGGUUAGGGUUAGGGUUGGAGUUAGGGUUAGUGUUGGAGCUAGGGUUAGGGUUGGGCUUGGAGCUAGGACUUUUCUGAGUGCACUGAACCAACUCCCGAGUCUCUAGGACAUUCCUAAAAAAAUUUGAUUUUUUCCCAUAGGAAUGCAUGGGUUAGGGUUAGGGUUAGGGUUGGAGCUAGGGUUAGGGUUAGGGUUAGGGUUGGAGUUAGGGUUAGUGUUGGAGCUAGGGUUAGGGUUGGGCUUGGAGCUAGGAUUUUUCUGAGUGCACUGAACCAACUCCCGAGUCUCUAGGACAUUCCUAAAAAAAUUUGAUUUUUUUCCCAUAGGAAUGCAUGGGUUAGGGUUAUGGUUAGGGUUAGGGUUGGAGCUAGGGUUAGGGUUAGGGUUGGAGUUAGGGUUAGUGUUGGAGCUAGGGUUAGGGUUGGGCUUGGAGCUAGGAUUUUUCUGAGUGCACUGAACCAACUCCCGAGUCUCUAGGAUGUUCCUAAAAAAUUUUGAUUUUUUCCCAUAGGAAUGCAUGGGUUAGGGUUAGGGUUAGGGUUGGAGCUAGGGUAAGGGUUAGGGUUAGGGUUGGAGUUAGGAUUAGUGUUGGAGCUAGGGUUAGGGUUGGGCUUGGAGCUAGGAUUUUUCUGAGUGCACUGAACCAACUCCCGAGUCUCUAGGACAUUCCUAAAGAAAUUUGAUUUUUUCCCAUAGGAAUGCAUGGGUUAGGGUUAGGGUUAGGGUUGGAGCUAGGGUUAGGGUUAGGGUUAGGGUUGGAGUUAGGGUUAGUGUUGGAGCUAGGGUUAGGGUUGGGCUUGGAGCUAGGAUUUUUCUGAGUGCACUGAACCAACUCCCGAGUCUCUAGGACAUUCCUAAAAAAAUUUGAUUUUUUCCCAUAGGAAUGCAUGGGUUAGGGUUAUGGUUAGGGUUAGGGUUGGAGCUAGGGUUAGGGUUAGGGUUGGAGUUAGGGUUAGUGUUGGAGCUAGGGUUAGGGUUGGGCUUGGAGCUAGGAUUUUUCUGAGUGCACUGAACCAACUCCCGAGUCUCUAGGAUGUUCCUAAAAAAAUUUGAUUUUUUCCCAUAGGAAUGCAUGGGUUAGGGUUAGGGUUAGGGUUGGAGCUAGGGUUAGGGUUAGGGUUAGGGUUGGAGUUAGGAUUAGUGUUGGAGCUAGGGUUAGGGUUGGGCUUGGAGCUAGGAUUUUUCUGAGUGCACUGAACCAACUCCCGAGUCUCUAGGACAUUCCUAAAGAAAUUUGAUUUUUUCCCAUAGGAAUGCAUGGGUUAGGGUUAGGGUUAGGGUUGGAGCUAGGGUUAGGGUUAGGGUUAGGGUUGGAGUUAGGGUUAGUGUUGGAGCUAGGGUUAGGGUUGGGCUUGGAGCUAGGAUUUUUCUGAGUGCACUGAACCAACUCCCGAGUCUCUAGGACAUUCCUAAAAAAAUUUGAUUUUUUCCCAUAGGAAUGCAUGGGUUAGGGUUAUGGUUAGGGUUAGGGUUGGAGCUAGGGUUAGGGUUAGGGUUAGGGUUGGAGUUAGGGUUAGUGUUGGAGCUAGGGUUAGGGUUGGGCUUGGAGCUAGGAUUUUUCUGAGUGCACUGAACCAACUCCCGAGUCUCUAGGACGUUCCUAAAAAAAUUUGAUUUUUUCCCAUAGGAAUGCAUGGGUUAGGGUUAGGGUUAGGGUUGGAGCUAGGGUUAGGGUUAGGGUUAGGGUUGGAGUUAGGGUUAGUGUUGGAGCUAGGGUUAGGGUUGGGCUUGGAGCUAGGAUUUUUCUGAGUGCACUGAACCAACUCCCGAGUCUCUAGGACAUUCCUAAAAAAAUUUGAUUUUUUUCCCAUAGGAAUGCAUGGGUUAGGGUUAGGGUUAGGGUUGGAGCUAGGGUUAGGGUUAGGGUUAGGGUUGGAGUUAGGGUUAGUGUUGGAGCUAGCGUUAGGGUUGGGCUUGGAGCUAGGAUUUUUCUGAGUGCAAUGAACCAACUCCCGAGUCUCUAGGACAUUCCUAAAAAAAUUUGAUUUUUUCCCAUAGGAAUGCAUGGGUUAGGGUUAUGGUUAGGGUUAGGGUUGGAGCUAGGGUUAGGGUUAGGGUUAGGGUUUGAGUUAGGGUUAGUGUCGGAGCUAGGGUUAGGGUUGGGCUUGGAGCUAGGAUUUUUCUGAGUGCACUGAACCAACUCCCGAGUCUCUAGGACGUUCCUAAAAAAAUUGAUUUUUUCCCAUAGGAAUGCAUGGGUUAGGGUUAGGGUUAGGGUUGGACCUAGGGUUAGGGUUGGAGUUAGGGUUAGUGUUGGAGCUAGGGUUAGGGUUGGGCUUGGAGCUAGGAUUUUUCUGAGUGCACUGAACCAACUCCCGAGUCUCUAGGACAUUCCUAAAAAAAUUUGAUUUUUUCCCAUAGGAA
Molecule: long non-coding RNA, 7550 nt
Filed under: Xyrichtys novacula (pearly razorfish)
Lineage: Eukaryota; Metazoa; Chordata; Actinopteri; Labriformes; Labridae
Source: RNAcentral